This 198-nucleotide ribosomal RNA is filed under the name Cryptosporidium parvum. RNAcentral's name for it is "partial 18S ribosomal RNA". It matches the Rfam family "Eukaryotic small subunit ribosomal RNA", at positions 321 to 520 of the family's 1831-position model. Lineage: Eukaryota; Apicomplexa; Conoidasida; Eucoccidiorida; Cryptosporidiidae. The record is from RNAcentral.
UUAAACGGUAGGGUAUUGGCCUACCGUGGCAAUGACGGGUAACGGGGAAUUAGGGUUCGAUUCCGGAGAGGGAGCCUGAGAAACGGCUACCACAUCUAAGGAAGGCAGCAGGCGCGCAAAUUACCCAAUCCUAAUACAGGGAGGCAGUGACAAGAAAUAACAAUACAGGACUUUUUGGUUUUGUAAUUGGAAUGAGUA